Molecule: ribosomal RNA, 551 nt
Filed under: Streptomyces sp.
Lineage: Bacteria; Bacillati; Actinomycetota; Actinomycetes; Kitasatosporales; Streptomycetaceae
Description: bacterial SSU rRNA
Rfam family: Bacterial small subunit ribosomal RNA
Source: RNAcentral
CGGGGAUUAGUGGCGAACGGGUGAGUAACACGUGGGCAAUCUGCCCUGCACUCUGGGACAAGCCCUGGAAACGGGGUCUAAUACCGGAUAUGACUGUCCAUCGCAUGGUGGAUGGUGUAAAGCUCCGGCGGUGCAGGAUGAGCCCGCGGCCUAUCAGCUUGUUGGUGAGGUAGUGGCUCACCAAGGCGACGACGGGUAGCCGGCCUGAGAGGGCGACCGGCCACACUGGGACUGAGACACGGCCCAGACUCCUACGGGAGGCAGCAGUGGGGAAUAUUGCACAAUGGGCGAAAGCCUGAUGCAGCGACGCCGCGUGAGGGAUGACGGCCUUCGGGUUGUAAACCUCUUUCAGCAGGGAAGAAGCGAAAGUGACGGUACCUGCAGAAGAAGCGCCGGCUAACUACGUGCCAGCAGCCGCGGUAAUACGUAGGGCGCAAGCGUUGUCCGGAAUUAUUGGGCGUAAAGAGCUCGUAGGCGGCUUGUCACGUCGGUUGUGAAAGCCCGGGGCUUAACCCCGGGUCUGCAGUCGAUACGGGCAGGCUAGAGUUCGG